This 1090-nucleotide ribosomal RNA is filed under the name Salmonella enterica subsp. enterica serovar Thompson. Its description in RNAcentral is "partial 23S ribosomal RNA". It matches the Rfam family "Bacterial large subunit ribosomal RNA", at positions 161 to 1190 of the family's 2925-position model. Lineage: Bacteria; Pseudomonadati; Pseudomonadota; Gammaproteobacteria; Enterobacterales; Enterobacteriaceae. The record is from RNAcentral.
AAUCCAUAGGUUAAUGAGGCGAACCGGGGGAACUGAAACAUCUAAGUACCCCGAGGAAAAGAAAUCAACCGAGAUUCCCCCAGUAGCGGCGAGCGAACGGGGAGGAGCCCAGAGCCUGAAUCAGCAUGUGUGUUAGUGGAAGCGUCUGGAAAGGCGCGCGAUACAGGGUGACAGCCCCGUACACAAAAGCGCAUGUGCUGUGAGCUCGAUGAGUAGGGCGGGACACGUGGUAUCCUGUCUGAAUAUGGGGGGACCAUCCUCCAAGGCUAAAUACUCCUGACUGACCGAUAGUGAACCAGUACCGUGAGGGAAAGGCGAAAAGAACCCCGGCGAGGGGAGUGAAAAAGAACCUGAAACCGUGUACGUACAAGCAGUGGGAGCCCCACCACUAAGCCAGUGGUGAACUCCACAUACGCAUCCUUUGCUGAGGAUACGGUUAACGGAGCGAAAGCGACGUUCAACCUCAAAAGAAGCAGAGGGGGCUUAGUGGUGGGGUGACUGCGUACCUUUUGUAUAAUGGGUCAGCGACUUAUAUUCUGUAGCAAGGUUAACCGUAUAGGGGAGCCGUAGGGAAACCGAGUCUUAACCGGGCGUUAAGUUGCAGGGUAUAGACCCGAAACCCGGUGAUCUAGCCAUGGGCAGGUUGAAGGUUGGGUAACACUAACUGGAGGACCGAACCGACUAAUGUUGAAAAAUUAGCGGAUGACCUGUGGCUGGGGGUGAAAGGCCAAUCAAACCGGGAGAUAGCUGGUUCUCCCCGAAAGCUAUUUAGGUAGCGCCUCGUGAAUUCAUCUCCGGGGGUAGAGCACUGUUUCGGCUAGGGGGCCAUCCCGGCUUACCAACCCGAUGCAAACUGCGAAUACCGGAGAAUGUUAUCACGGGAGACACACGGCGGGUGCUAACGUCCGUCGUGAAGAGGGAAACAACCCAGACCGCCAGCUAAGGUCCCAAAGUCAUGGUUAAGUGGGAAACGAUGUGGGAAGGCCCAGACAGCCAGGAUGUUGGCUUAGAAGCAGCCAUCAUUUAAAGAAAGCGUAAUAGCUCACUGGUCGAGUCGGCCUGCGCGGAAGAUGUAACGGGGCUAAACCAU